AGGACGAACGCUGGCGGCGUGCUUAACACAUGCAAGUCGAGCGGUGAUCCUCCUUCGGGAGGUGAUCAGCGGCGAACGGGUGAGUAACACGUGGGCAACCUGCCCCUCACACUGGGAUAACCUCGGGAAACCGGGGCUAAUACCGGAUACGACCUCGAGCGGCAUCUCUUGAGGUGGAAAGCUCCGACGGUGAGGGAUGGGCCCGCGGCCUAUCAGCUUGUUGGUGGGGUAAUGGCCUACCAAGGCGACGACGGGUAGCCGGCCUGAGAGGGCGACCGGCCACACUGGGACUGAGACACGGCCCAGACUCCUACGGGAGGCAGCAGUGGGGAAUAUUGCGCAAUGGGCGAAAGCCUGACGCAGCGACGCCGCGUGAGGGAUGAAGGCCUUCGGGUUGUAACCUCUUUCAGCAGGGACGAAGCGAAAGUGACGGUACCUGCAGAAGAAGCACCGGCUAACUACGCGCCAGCAGCCGCGGUAA
RNAcentral lists this ribosomal RNA (481 nucleotides) under uncultured bacterium. Its description in RNAcentral is "SSU rRNA". It matches the Rfam family "Bacterial small subunit ribosomal RNA", at positions 26 to 523 of the family's 1533-position model. The record is from RNAcentral.